UACAGAGGGUGCGAGCGUUAAUCGGAAUUACUGGGCGUAAAGCGUGCGUAGACGGUAGCGUAAGUCAGAUGUGAAAGCCCCGGGCUCAACCUGGGAACUGCAUUUGAGACUGCUCUGCUCGGGUGCGGAAGAGGGAAGCGGAAUUUCCGGUGUAGCGGUGAAAUGCGUAGAUAUUCGCAAGAACACCAGUGGCGAAGGCGGCUCACUGGCCCGGUACUGACGCUGAGGCACGAAAGCGUGGGGAGCAAACAGG
This 253-nucleotide ribosomal RNA is filed under the name uncultured bacterium. RNAcentral describes it as "partial 16S ribosomal RNA". It matches the Rfam family "Bacterial small subunit ribosomal RNA", at positions 524 to 776 of the family's 1533-position model. The record is from RNAcentral.